Molecule: RNase P RNA, 262 nt
Filed under: Candidatus Aenigmatarchaeota archaeon
Lineage: Archaea; Nanobdellati; Candidatus Aenigmatarchaeota
Description: RNase P RNA component
Rfam family: Archaeal RNase P
About the family: Ribonuclease P (RNase P) is a ubiquitous endoribonuclease, found in archaea, bacteria and eukarya as well as chloroplasts and mitochondria. Its best characterised activity is the generation of mature 5'-ends of tRNAs by cleaving the 5'-leader elements of precursor-tRNAs. Cellular RNase Ps are ribonucleoproteins.
Source: RNAcentral
UUGAGCUGGGGGUGCAGCUUUCCCAAAAAGGGAGGAAGCUCCACCCACCCAAUAGGCAGCAUCGCAAGAUGCAUGGCCGAGAGGCCAUCUCUCAGGAAGCAGAAACGAACCCAUGCAUGCUAUAGAUGAUGCAUAUCGCAUAUACAUGAGCAUGCAGUGGGGUGAAACGGUCCUGAGAGUGCCGGGUGCAAGCUGUUGCGCUUAGAUAAAUGCUGCAGCCCUUUUAAUAAGGGUUACAGAAGGUGGGCUAUUCCCAGCACAA